UGGAUUUAAAGAAAAAAACCAAGUGUGGACUUUUGGUGGAUUUUGAUAGUAAAAUGUAAAAUUCCACGCUUGGAUUUAAUCCCAAUAGUUGAAAUGAAAAUCUUUAGGAUUGGAUAAUUUUAAAACUUUGGGUUUUGCAGGGUCUAAUCCCCAUUCCUGGGGAUGUAACACUUUUAUAAUAUAACACUUUGAAUGUGUUAUGGGAGUUGUUUACAUGAUUAUGGACAAUCUGAAUAGAUUUUGUCUCCAUAAGCAUUGCUUCAUAGACAUAACUGAGUCUCCCAUACAAAACCAUAUAAACCAUAUAAGUUUGGUUUCCCAGGUAUCUUUCUUUAAUAAACCAGUAAUUUUGAUGCAUUGUUGAUCUUGAGUUUGAUAUCAAAAGCAAGCAAAAAGCCGUUAUAAGGCAACUCAAAAUGCAUGUAAAGGAGUUUCCCAUUUUGAUUAUCCAAAAUUAGGUUAUACAGUACCAUCUAAAGGUCGUUUAAAGACCAAAAUUGCUAAAGAACCUUUGGCUACCGAAGUAGUAUAUCAUCAAAAGAGCCAUGUGGAGAAUGUUCUUCAUCUCUAGACCCAAGAUCAACAAUGGCAUCAAAAUCCCUGGUUUAUCAAUGAAAGAUACCUAGGAAACCAAACUUAUUUGGUUUUGGAAGGGAGACUCAUAUAUGUCUAUGAAGCAAUGCUUGUGGAGACAAAAUCUGUUCAGAUUGUCCAUAAUCAUGUAAACCAUGGAGAUUUUAAAACUCCUAUAACACAUUGAAAGUGUUAUAUUAUGAAAGUGUUAUAUUAUAAAGGUGUUACAUCCCAGGAACGGGGAUUCAACCCUGCAAAACCCAAACUUUUAAAAUUAUCCAAUCCCAAAGAUUUUCAUUUCAACUAUUGGGAUUACAUCCAAGCGUGGAAUUUUACUUUUUACUAUCAAAA
This 924-nucleotide long non-coding RNA is filed under the name Actinidia chinensis (golden kiwifruit). RNAcentral's name for it is "long non-coding RNA (ACHI_LNC004341)". The record is from RNAcentral. Lineage: Eukaryota; Viridiplantae; Streptophyta; Magnoliopsida; Ericales; Actinidiaceae.